GGAAGGUUGAGUGUGGGCGAUAGUCUUGCUAACCCGGUCAGGUUCGGAAGAAAGCAGCCGUAACAAGUAACGUCGGGUCACAUUAAAGCUCAACCUU
This 97-nucleotide signal recognition particle RNA is filed under the name Alphaproteobacteria bacterium. RNAcentral's name for it is "signal recognition particle sRNA small type". It matches the Rfam family "Bacterial small signal recognition particle RNA". Rfam says of the family: The signal recognition particle (SRP) is a universally conserved ribonucleoprotein involved in the co-translational targeting of proteins to membranes. Archaeal SRP consists of a 7S RNA and homologues of the eukaryotic SRP19 and SRP54 proteins. In most bacteria, the SRP consists of a 4.5S RNA and the Ffh protein (a homologue of the eukaryotic SRP54 protein). The record is from RNAcentral. Lineage: Bacteria; Pseudomonadati; Pseudomonadota; Alphaproteobacteria.